UGACUUUUUGGAAGCCGUCUCAUGACUUUCUGCCUGGAUUGCGUGUGAUGUGAGUACCUGCAGUUUGAGAUGAGGAGGACCACGAUGUUGUUGUGAGACCAGACCAGAGAGGAAGGAUUUCGAUCUGCUUUAUCCCUGCACCCCUGUUCAGCUAACAGAUGUGCAGGAAUGUCCUGGGCUCUCCAUCGCUUUUCUCUGCAGCAGAAUCUGACUGACAGCACC
Long non-coding RNA from Lonchura striata (white-rumped munia), 222 nucleotides. Lineage: Eukaryota; Metazoa; Chordata; Aves; Passeriformes; Estrildidae. The record is from Ensembl.